UCGGCAGCCAGUAACAAGGCUGUUACAAGUGUCUACAAUGACGUGAAGGAAUACUAUGGAAAGACACUGAAGAAUACAUCUGACCUGAAAAGCAAUGCCUGUGUUCCGUCUGCCAAGCCUGUCCCUGCAUACGUGAGGAAAGUGAUAGCUGAGAUCCAUCCAGAUGUCGUUGCAAAGUGAGGUUUGCUUCGAUGAAUGUUGUGAUGAUUUAGUUAAAACAUACAUAUGCAAGAUGUCUUUGAGGUAAAACAAAG
Molecule: long non-coding RNA, 254 nt
Organism: Sinocyclocheilus grahami
Lineage: Eukaryota; Metazoa; Chordata; Actinopteri; Cypriniformes; Cyprinidae
Exons: 3
Source: RefSeq, a predicted model, not a curated record